This 499-nucleotide ribosomal RNA is filed under the name uncultured bacterium. Its description in RNAcentral is "partial 16S ribosomal RNA". It matches the Rfam family "Bacterial small subunit ribosomal RNA", at positions 899 to 1397 of the family's 1533-position model. The record is from RNAcentral.
ACUCAAAGGAAUUGACGGGGGCCCGCACAAGCGGUGGAGCAUGUUGUUCAAUUCGACGCAACGCGAAGAACCUUACCUGGGUUAAAUCCAGCGGAACCUUGCAGAGAUGUGAGGGUGCCCUUCGGGGAGCCGCUGAGACGGUGCUGCAUGGCUGUCGUCAGCUCGUGUCGUGAGAUGUUGGGUUAAGUCCCGCAACGAGCGCAACCCUUGUCGUUAGUUGCUAACAGUUAGGCUGAGCACUCUAACGAGACUGCCGGCGUUAAGCCGGAGGAAGGUGGGGAUGACGUCAAGUCCUCAUGGCCCUUAUGCCCAGGGCUACAAACGUGCUACAAUGGCCGGUACAAAGGGCUGCGAACUCGCAAGGGGGAGCCAAUCCCAAAAAACCGGUCUCAGUUCGGAUUGGAGUCUGCAACUCGACUCCAUGAAGUUGGAAUCGCUAGUAAUCGCCGAUCAGCAGGCGGCGGUGAAUACGUUCCCGGGCCUUGCACACACCGCCCGU